Molecule: ribosomal RNA, 464 nt
Filed under: uncultured Pelotomaculum sp.
Lineage: Bacteria; Bacillati; Bacillota; Clostridia; Eubacteriales; Desulfotomaculaceae
Description: bacterial SSU rRNA
Rfam family: Bacterial small subunit ribosomal RNA
Source: RNAcentral
CCCGCACAAGCGGUGGAGCAUGUGGUUAAUUCGACGCAACGCGAAGAACCUUACCAGGGCUUGACAUCCCCUGACCGCGUAUGAAAGUACGUUUUCACCCUCGGGUGACAGGGAGACAGGUGGUGCAUGGUUGUCGUCAGCUCGUGUCGUGAGAUGUUGGGUUAAGUCCCGCAACGAGCGCAACCCCUACGUUUAGUUGCUAACGCGUGAAGGCGAGCACUCUAGACGAACUGCCGUUGACAAAACGGAGGAAGGUGGGAUGACGUCAAAUCAUCAUGCCCCUUAUGUUCUGGGCUACACACGUGCUACAAUGGCCGGUACAGACGGACGCAAAGCCGCGAGGUGGAGCAAAUCCUAAAAAGCCGGUCUCAGUUCGGAUUGCAGGCUGCAAUUCGCCUGCAUGAAGAUGGAGUUGCUAGUAACCGCAGGUCAGCUAUACUGCGGUGAAUACGUUCCCGGGGCUU